UCUAAUACCGGAUAYGACCUUCCUCCGCAUGGGGGUUGGUGGAAAGCUCCGGCGGUGCAGGAUGAGCCCGCGGCCUAUCAGCUUGUUGGUGGGGUAAUGGCCUACCAAGGCGACGACGGG
RNAcentral lists this ribosomal RNA (120 nucleotides) under Kitasatospora aureofaciens. RNAcentral's name for it is "partial 16S rRNA". It matches the Rfam family "Bacterial small subunit ribosomal RNA", at positions 162 to 283 of the family's 1533-position model. The record is from RNAcentral. Lineage: Bacteria; Bacillati; Actinomycetota; Actinomycetes; Kitasatosporales; Streptomycetaceae.